Non-coding RNA from Nothobranchius furzeri (turquoise killifish), 5112 nucleotides. Lineage: Eukaryota; Metazoa; Chordata; Actinopteri; Cyprinodontiformes; Nothobranchiidae. The record is from RefSeq and is a predicted model, not a curated record.
UUGACAGAACGAGGAGACAAAUGAUCAGAAGUCCAUUCACUGUUUCGCCGCUCAUGAGGGGGAGAGUCUCUGCAGCAAGUCCCGCGACCUGCUCUUGCCAGAUGCUUCGGACAGACUCUCGCCGUUCUGCUGAAAACGGCUGAUUUUUAUUGAAGAUUACAGGAAUGUUACAUACGUAGUUUGCCAUACACACACGUAAUUCUGCCAUCUGCACCUGCAGACGCACGUCAGCUAAUAGCCUUGUUAAUGAAAGACCAAUUCAUCCCAAGGACAUGCAACCUUGAGAUGAUCAGGACACAUCCUGCAACAUCCUUUGCUAACAAAGACAGUUGUUCUUGUAUUGAGGAACUGAAGGAAGGAACGCUUUCACUCCCUUAUGCAGCUGUUCAGCUUGAGCAGAAAAGGCACAGAGAGGUCUUUGAUAUUAUAACAAGAUUCCAUGAAAAGGCAUAUAAUAAUGUAUUUAUGAUAAUAUAUAAGGAGCAAAAGUGAGAGAUACAUAUUUAAUCAUAUAAAAGAGCUUAUAAUAAUAUAUGAAAGAGCUUAUAUGAGAGAUAUAUAUUUUCAAUCCCCCUUUUGAACUCUUUUAAGAGUUCAAUAAAGAUAUAAGAAAUCAAAACAAUAACACCAAAUUCCAUCAAAAAGAAUCCAAUAAGCAAAGUUUUAAAAUACCAAUACAAACAACCAAUCAGAUUACAUUUACUCAUCUUUCUAGCAGUAAACUAAUACAAAAAACAUGAUCAUACUUUCAACUGAACAUGUUACAACAUGUAUGGAUCGCAUGCAACUCCAUAUGAGGGCGAAAAACCCUAAUUAUCAUAUGUUUAUAGGGAAAAUUCCCCCAUGUCCCCCCAUUUGUCAUAUCUCAAUUUUGGGGCGAACACCUGUUGGCAUAGAGUGUGCAUGCCUAGGACAUCAAUGAUCAACAAAAAAUAAAACAAAACAAACAAAAAAAUCAUAAAAAUGAACUGGUGAAGGGAUGGUUACAUAAAUCACUGAACAUUCUCACACUCUAACAACAUCUUCUUCAUCAUGAGAGUCAUCACUAUCAUCAGAGAGUUCCCCUCCCAAAUAGAUGUUAGGAUUGGCUAGUAACAAGGGCAUCUGGAUAAUUGGGUCAGCAGGUGGAGGGUGUAAAAUAUUACCCUUGUAAAAUAAAUGAGGGUGUUAAAUACAACCCUUGUAGAAUGUUCAUAGGGUGGUUACUUCUUCCCCCUGUUGAGGACCCUUCACUGGCUCCAGGCAGCUGCAGGGGGUGAUGAUGUCAUGAUUCUCGUCCUGCAGGAUGUGGUGACAGCUUGGCAUGCUACUGCAGUCAGCUACUUCUCUUCCUGGUUUUUGGAUCCUUUCUCUGGUUAGGCAGAUGUCAGCUGCUUCUCUUCCAGGUUAGGCUCCUCCCGUCCAGCCGGACAGCGUGUGAUGUCCUCUCCGUGAUCCUGUAUGGCCCGGUCCACCUCGGUUCCGUCCACUUCCUUUUGGUGACUUUUAGCAGGACCCAGACGCCUGGCACCGAAGACGAAGCCUCUUCGUGUGUGUAGUUUUGGUCCAAUGAAGGCUUUCUCGGCUUGUGCAGUCCUUGAUCUCGGCAGAUAGUUGGUAGGAAGAUUCACACUCCGGCCGGACCAGAAGUUCCCCGGACCGAUCGCCUAGGGAUUAGAGGUUAUGCACAAAAAUGUCCUAGCUCUUACUGACCCUAGCCUCUGAUACCUUCAACAUCAGACACAUACAGUUACGAACAGCAAGCGCAAUUAAAGGUACAGUGACAUCACGACAUGGACACACACAGAGAGAGGGAGAGAGUAAGAAUGUGUGUGGGAGAAAGAAAUGAGUGGGAUCCACUUCGCCACCAGCAUCUCCACCUGUGUCACAGAGAAAAAUUACAAAGAAAUUAAAACACAAAGCAAACAACAAUAAUUCAAUGAGUAUAAAUGAUCAAACUAAAAUAUACAACCAUGCAUGGGUUUUAUAACAGUUCCGGCAACACUGGAGAGGAAGCCUUGUAUAAUGAAUUCUUAAGAUGUCCUUCAUCAAUUAGAGGUUAUAGCCAAAUUGUUUCAGGAUCCUGAAGUUGAAUUGGUCAAUUUACUCAGAAUAGCCCAAUGGCUUUGUUGAUGUUUCUCAAGGCUCAGCCACGCCCAUAUAGAUAAAUAAACAAACAAACAAGACAAACACAGUCAAACACACGGUCCAUACACGUCUCUGUGCCCUCACACACCAAGCAAAUGUCAGACUGAAGCGAAAGUGUGAAAUACUUAACCUAACGCUAAAUCAGUGGAAAGAAAAAAUAAGACCUAAGGCGUGUAAUCAAAUUAAUCCAACAAAACUUCCCAUAACUGCCGUUCUAAACUCAUGUUGCGGUGUGAUCUCUCCAAUUAAAAAUUAGGACAACCACUUUUACUAUCAAUUCAACCAAAUAGUUUCAGGUUGUCCCUUACCUAAACUACCUGUCUUUCUUACCUUCUUUCUUUCUUUCUUUCUUUCUUUUUUAGGAACACUACUCGCACAAGAAAUCCUAAGAAUUAAUUCACUACUUAAGGUUAAUUCAUAAAUAACGAAACUGCAGUUACAGGUUUGUUUGUGCAUAGUAUUGGUAAUCAGCAGUUUUUUUUUUCUUAUCUCCUCAUCUAGAAGUGUUUCUGUGCUACUCCUCCAUCUAUAACACAAGUUAGUAUCAUCCUUAAAGCAUCUGAAAUUAAGCUGCAUUGCUAAAUCAAUAACGUGAUUUGUGCUAAGAAAUACUCCCCUAUCGUCUUCCUUUUUCCAGUGGCGCUGAAUGACAGAUUUUAGAUCAAUUUAACGUUUUAUCACUAUUACGUUUCAUUUAAUUAAUUUUGCUUUUUCUCUCUUAUUUUUGUCUAUUUAUUUAUUUAUGUUAUUUACUUAUUUAUCAUGCCAUCCUGUGAUGAUAAUCUUAAAGACUUUUUAGCCAAUUGUCGUCAAAACGGCCAUUUAAAAAUAUUAUGUUAAAGAUUUCACAAGAUAAAAAUGUGAACAUAAUUUUUAUCGAAUGAGGGGUACAAUUAUUCAAUAUUUUUGUGACAUUAUUUUCUACGUUAGAACUUACAGCUGAUAGAAAAAUAUAGGAUCAGCUAGGUUUGGCUAGAUCUGUUGGGAAACUCAACGGAGCUGAAACAACACUGUUGUCUCGGAUGAGAUGUUCCAUGAAUCAUUUAGUCAGCUGGAUGCCAAAUUAUUCAUUUAAUGUUUAUUUUUAUGCAAUGAAUGGAAUGGGAUGGAACGUUACUAUAAACUAUCCGGAAAUUUGCGCAUGUUUGCUCGAAGGAGAGAACUGUUGAAGCCUAAAGCGUUCUCCUAGACUUAUAAAUAGACACCGUUUCCUUAACCAAUGAAAAUAAGUGAUGACGCUGAUGUAUUCCGUUUUGAAAAGAAAAUAAGGCUUUACUGCAUGUCCGCUGCAGCUGAGAAUCCUAAGACAAUAAAGAUUAUAUUGACGUCCAAUGAUGAGUUGGGCUGAAAUCCAGGUUACUAAUCCUAUUAUUUAUUUAUUUAUUGAUAUUAUUAUUAUCUUUUUUUAGGCUAACUUUCUCAGUUAACUAUGUUCUACAGUAGUUUAGUAAAUUUUCCACAGUUCUGACAUUUCAUCAAUUCAACUGGUUGUUGCCAAAAAGCCUUGUUCAUUACCUGACUGCAGCAAGCACUCUUUUACUGGGUGUAACCAUAGGAAACAGUCUCUUUUGAGCCUCUCUUUGUAAGUCCAGGAUGACCACCGUCAUUGAUUGAAGUUCACAUGUUAGCACACAUGCUCCCCCUUUUGUACUUUGUUUCAUCAGCAGCAGGGCAAAUAAGUUUCUGCCUCUUUGUCCAUCUUGUAGUGCUCCCCGUCUUGAUGUUAUGAGUCACAGUUUUUGGUGAGGGCUUCCAGGUUCUCUUUGUAUAGAAGUCAGAGCCAAACAUUCUUUGCAGCUGGUUGUGACAGGCCCACCCAGUAAAGUUCAUGCCUCCACAAUGCACAGCAAACGUUUUCCUUAAAUAUGUUGAUUGAGUUGAAAGGACAGAACUUUCUCUUUUACAAAUCAAAAUCAACGAAGGUUUCUAAUAUUUAGUCAACUUUAUUGACUCAAAGGUAAAUCUAGACUAUUUCCUAUGCACAAUUUUUCUGACUCGUCAAAUCAGUUCUACACAGGUUUUAAACAUUAGGCACAAUCUAUCCCAAAUGCAAGAUCCCUCCUUUCAUUUUUUAUUUAUCUAUUUUAUUUUGGGAAAAUAACUACCAGUUUUUUACUCAAAACAGCCUAGUACAGUUUCUAGCCAGGUUACAGGAAAUAAUACUUAGUUUAUCUGUUUUUUCAUUAUUCAGCGUCCCAAAAUCCAGCCAUUAACGUUAAUGGUUCUUAAAGUUGAGGUAAGACAAUUAUUGGAUUUUGUUUUAUAGCAAGAUUUAACAAAUAUUUUAUUUCCUGACUGAUUAUUUGUUAAUUUUAUGGUUUUCAUAAAGAUGAUCCUGAGAGGUUCAGAGCUGCUUUUCGCAGUACCCUGUGCUAUUUUUAGACUGCGGGACUCCUGUGUGUAAAAGUGGGUGGAGUCAGGUCCCCAGGCUGAAAAUCCAGUCAUUCUCACUAGAUCUGUCCGAGAGGAAGGAUCUCCUGAAUACCCUAACCAGAAGCCUUAAGUCUCUCGAACUAAAUAACCGUCUAGUAAAAACAUGGACCGCACCCUGUUUCUCAAGCAGCUGCUCCCUCUAUUAAAAACUGCGUCAUUCAGAAGAUCCAGCGAAAGCAGCUCAUGCAAGAAGACACACAUUCACUCAUUCACAAGGCACAGAGACAUUCUUUGUUUGUCACAGUCUCUUUUUAUUAUUAUUAUUAUUUUUUUAAGGUAAGUCAGUUCGUCACUUAUUUAUUCUCUCUCUAUAUAUAUAUAAUAUUUUAAGCACAGAAUUUAUUUAACACUGCACUGGUUAUUUUCAGAAUUUAAUGCUUACUAUGCUUUUAAGCAGGCCUUAUGUAACAUUAGAGCAAAUCCAAUUGCAAUUUUUUUGAGAGCGCUCUGAGGAAUAGUUUAUAUAUUUAUUUUCUGCAGAUCUGUUUUGAUUUUACUGUUUAGCAGCUAUAUGACUAUAUUUCUAAAAUAAAGCUGUCAUUUACAUCCUUA